RNAcentral lists this ribosomal RNA (225 nucleotides) under Gentiana altaica. The record is from RNAcentral. Lineage: Eukaryota; Viridiplantae; Streptophyta; Magnoliopsida; Gentianales; Gentianaceae.
AUCGCGUCGCCCCCAACACCGUGCAUGAAACAUUGCCGGUUGUCGGAGGGGCGGAUAUUGGCUUCCCGUGCUUCGGUGCGGCUGGCCUAAAUGCAAGUCCUUCCGGCGGACACCACGACAAGUGGUGGUUGAUUACCUCAACUCAGUUUGUCGCACGUUGACCCGUCGGACGAGGAGACUUCCUCGACCCUAAUGCAUGAUCUUCACGACGAAUGCCACGACCGC